UACAGAGGUCCCAAGCGUUGUUCGGAUUCACUGGGCGUAAAGGGUGCGUAGGCGGUCGGGUAAGUCUGAUGUGAAAUCUCACAGCUUAACUGUGAAACUGCAUUGGAUACUAUCCGGCUCGAGGAAUGGAGGGGAGACUGGAAUACUUGGUGUAGCAGUGAAAUGCGUAGAUAUCAAGUGGAACACCAGUGGCGAAGGCGAGUCUCUGGACGUUUCCUGACGCUGAGGCACGAAAGCCAGGGGAGCGAACGGG
RNAcentral lists this ribosomal RNA (253 nucleotides) under uncultured bacterium. RNAcentral's name for it is "partial 16S ribosomal RNA". It matches the Rfam family "Bacterial small subunit ribosomal RNA", at positions 524 to 776 of the family's 1533-position model. The record is from RNAcentral.